ACCGCGUUUAGAGGAUCAGUGGCGGCGGGCCCGCGCGGUGCCAGCGACUAGCAGAGAGAUGUCUUGGCCCCUUCCAGGUUUGGGAGAAUGGAGAGAGCAAGGUGUAGCUGAUUAGCAAGUUAAUUAUUUCAGUACCCCAAGGGUUCAUGCGUGGUGGAGAUGGCCUUGGGGGAGCAACCUCCGGACCUCAGCAGUGUGAGGAUGACGACAACAGUACCCUGGGGUGCUGUCCCCACUCAGGUUGGGUGCCAUCCCUGCUGAUGGAGAGAGGCUGAAGUCUGUCAGAGAAGAUAGUGCCGGCAGCUACUUAGCUGGUAUUAAUUGUAUCUGCAGAGUAGGGAUGCAGAGGCCUCCCAGUGAAGUGUGAAGGGAUGGGCCUUAACCAGGGUUGAAGAAAGAAAGUGAAGAAGGGGAGAGCCCAAGGAAAGGUGGGGACAGUUGGAACUUCUGAUUACACUCUUCUGGUCUACUUCUCAUGUAUCAUAUGCUAUAAUCUCCAAAUUCCAUAUUUAUUGUAGCAGUCUGCGGUGUGUAUGCCCCGGCCGCAUGCUGCUUGGCUAAAAAAGUGUUAAAUAAAACUGUAAGAAACG
This is a long non-coding RNA of Mus pahari (shrew mouse), 590 nucleotides long. RefSeq lists it as uncharacterized. NCBI's taxonomy places the organism in Eukaryota, Metazoa, Chordata, Mammalia, Rodentia, Muridae. The transcript is spliced from 4 exons. The record is from RefSeq and is a predicted model, not a curated record.